This 396-nucleotide unclassified non-coding RNA is filed under the name soil metagenome. RNAcentral's name for it is "partial contains 5.8S ribosomal RNA, internal transcribed spacer 2, and large subunit ribosomal RNA". The stretch from base 1 to 120 matches the Rfam family "5.8S ribosomal RNA", at positions 35 to 154 of the family's 154-position model. The record is from RNAcentral.
GAUGAAGAACGUAGUGAAAUGCGAUAAGUAGUGUGAAUUGCAGAAUUCAGUGAAUCAUCGAAUCUUUGAACGCACAUUGCGCCUCCUGGCAUUCCGGGAGGCAUGCCUGUUCGAGCGUCAUCAAACCCCAUCGUGCAAAUGAAUUAUUUUUUUUGCGCGGAAGUGACGAUUGAGCGAGAAUACCAAAUCCUCUCGCACCUCGUCGAAAUGAUUGCGGGCGGAAUUUGGGAUCGGGUUCCUCGGCGUAGUGUAUCAAUGCAUAUUUAUGCAACUUGCCGCGGAGUUGAGCCUGACCCACGCGUUCUCGCCGUACAAACACCUCAUUACUUUACAAGUUUUUGACCUCGGAUCAGGUAGGGAUACCCGCUGAACUUAAGCAUAUCAAUAAGCGGAGGA